RNAcentral lists this ribosomal RNA (460 nucleotides) under uncultured bacterium. RNAcentral describes it as "partial 16S ribosomal RNA". It matches the Rfam family "Bacterial small subunit ribosomal RNA", at positions 338 to 795 of the family's 1533-position model. The record is from RNAcentral.
CCUACGGGAGGCAGCAGUGAGGAAUAUUUGUCAAUGGGCGCGAGCCUGAACCAGCCAAGUAGCGUGAAGGAUGACUGCCCUACGGGUUGUAAACUUCUUUUAUAAAGGAAUAAAGUGAGGCACGUGUGCCUUUUUGUAUGUACUUUAUCAAUAAGGAUCGGCUAACUCCGUGCCAGCAGCCGCGGUAAUACGGAGGAUCCGAGCGUUAUCCGGAUUUAUUGUGUUUAAAGGGAGCGUAGAUGGGUUGUUAAGUCAGUUGUGAAAGUUUGGGGCUCAACCGUAAGAUUGCAAUUGAUACUGGCAGGCUUGAGAACAGUUGAGGUAAGCGGAAUUUGUGGUGUAGCGGUGAAAUGCGUAGAUAUCACGAGGAACUCCGAUUGCGAAGGCAGCCUACUAAACUGCCACUGACAUUGAGGCUCGAAAGUGUGGGUAUCAAACAGGAUUAGAUACCCGGGUAGUC